GGAAGGGGCAGGGCCUAGGGGAAGGGACAAGGUAGAUCCUGGGUUGCUCUUACAUUCAAAAAGUGAUCUUAGGCGUAUAAAGUUUGGAGGCCACUGCCGUAGAUGCUCCGAGUGUGGGAAACGCUUCUGUCAGAGUUUACACCUUAUUUAUCAUCAGGGAAUCCACAAGUUAGAUAAACAGCAUAAACACCUAAAUAUUCUUGCUAAUUCCCACAUGUGGCCUUUAUGCUGUCGGUGCGAUUUCCUUCAUUGUGGCCUCAGCUCUCCCAGGUGAGUGGUCCGGUUUUGCUUUUUGCAGCUCUUGAAUCCCCAAAGAGCGUUCCUAUCUACUGCUUUGUUCCAUGAGUCAUGGGAGUACGAGUCCCACCCCAGAUGGGGGGACCAGAAACCUGCAUGGGCCUGGUGUCAUUAGCAUUUUUUGUAGUUAGCCAGCUCCAGUGAGCCAUCAGAUGUAAAAUCACAGCUGUGUUUUCUAUACUGACAUGUCCCAUGUACAAUAUCUUUCCUAGUUUAGAAUCCUGUUGCUAAUUUAUCGUGAUGCUAAAACUUUUGCAAGUACAACUGAAUAACGAUGAGAAAGCGCUGAGUGAAGCAGGUUUCAAUGGAUCAGAGGACAAUGCACUGGGAAAAUUUGUGGUCCUGAUUCUGAGCCAUCAGAUGUAACCUGCCCUAGAAUCUCAUUCUAUCUGAAACAGAAAAUGUCUUACACCCCUCUGAGAUGGAGAUUUUUUCUCUCUUUCCUGAAGGCUGGUUGGCCACACAACUGGAUAUUAGUUUUCUUUGGCAGAAUGUAGUUCAGAUUUAUUGAGGAUUUGGAGACAAAUUCCCAUUGAUUUAUUUUUGCUUUUCUCCUACGCCUCCGUGAUGUCAUGGGGAAAGUUCAAAUGCAACUCAGUCAGCUGGAGCGAAUAGUCCCAGUUAUGGGACAUGCUACCAAAGAAAUGGCAGUGGUUUGAAAUCUCCAGUCUGAAAUGGUGAAGAGCAGUGCACCCCAAACUGUACAACUAACUUAAGUAACUGGAUAUAAUCACAGGGUUGUUCAGUUAUUUAGGUCAAUAUUAUUUCAGAUCAUCCGGGGAGAGAGUUUCACAGUAAGGAGCUAUGCAAAAUACCCAUGUACUUGUUUCCUAAAACAGUUGUGACCCAGGCCCUCGAGGUGGUUACUCCUGAAGAUAUCUCCCAGCUAAUCCUAAUGUUUGGGAAAUACUGUCUCUAGCAAUGCAGUUGUGCAGGAAAUAGAAGUGGUUUUUGUUGCUUUUGAAUUCACCCUUUGCAAUGCUUCGAAUAUGUAUAAAAUGAGAUCAGUGUUUAAUGUGAGACAGCUGCAGAAAAAUUACUCAUUUUGAAUAGAAACCCCACCUCUGGUUCUGUAUAGUGAGUCUCACCCAGGCUUGUGUCUAGUUUCUGAUUUAAACAGGUGCAAUCGGAUGAAGGAAAUAAACUUGGCAUAUUUGGGGAAGCCAUUCCUCACUAACAUU
This is a long non-coding RNA of Gopherus evgoodei (Goodes thornscrub tortoise), 1478 nucleotides long. RefSeq lists it as uncharacterized. Lineage: Eukaryota; Metazoa; Chordata; Testudines; Testudinidae. The record is from RefSeq and is a predicted model, not a curated record. The transcript has 2 exons.